GAUGAACGCUGGCGGCGUGCCUAAUACAUGCAAGUCGAGCGAACAGACCAGGAGCUUGCGCCUCUGACGUUAGCGGCGGACGGGUGAGUAACACGUGGAUAACCUACCUAUAAGACUGGGAUAAUUACGGGAAACCGGAUCUUAUACCGGAUAAUAUAUUGAACCGCAUGGGUCAAUAGUGAAAGUCGGUUUUUCUGUCACUAAUAGAUGGAUCCGCGCCUAAUUAGUUAGUUGGUAAGCUAACGGCUUACCAAGGCAGGGAGGCGUAGCCGACCGGAAAGAGGGGUAGCCCACCUGGGAAGUGAGACGGAGUCAAGAGUCCUACGGUAGGAAGCAGACGGGAAUCUUACGCAAUGGGGGAGAGGCUGACAGAGCAAGGGGGCGUGAGUGAUGAAGGUGCUAGGCUCGGAAAACUCUGUUAUUAGGGGAGAACAAAUGUGUAAGUAACUAUGACGGUAUUGACGGUACCGGGUCAAAAAGCCCCGGCUAACUACGUG
This 497-nucleotide ribosomal RNA is filed under the name uncultured bacterium. Its description in RNAcentral is "partial 16S ribosomal RNA". It matches the Rfam family "Bacterial small subunit ribosomal RNA", at positions 28 to 507 of the family's 1533-position model. The record is from RNAcentral.